Molecule: ribosomal RNA, 732 nt
Filed under: uncultured eukaryote
Lineage: Eukaryota
Description: SSU rRNA
Rfam family: Eukaryotic small subunit ribosomal RNA
Source: RNAcentral
CGGGUGCACUGAUCCAGCCGGGCCUUUCCCUCUGUGGAACCCCAUGGCCUUCACUGGCUGUGGUGGGGAAACAGGACUUUUACUUUGAAAAAAUUAGAGUGCUCCAGGCAGGCCUAUGCUCGAAUACAUUAGCAUGGAAUAAUAGAAUAGGACGUGUGGUUCUAUUUUGUUGGUUUCUAGGACCGCCGUAAUGAUUAAUAGGGACAGUCGGGGGCAUCAGUAUUCAAUUGUCAGAGGUGAAAUUCUUGGAUCUAUUGAAGACUAACUACUGCGAAAGCAUUUGCCAAGGAUGUUUUCAUUGAUAAGGAACGAAAGUUAGGGGAUCGAAGACGAUCAGAUACCGUCGUAGUCUUAACUAUAAACUAUGCCCGACUAGGGAUCGGACGAUGUUAUUCUUUGACGCGUUCGGCACCUUUCGAGAAAUCAAAGUGCUUGGGCUCCAGGGGGAGUAUGGUCGCAAGGCUGAAACUUAAAGAAAUUGACGGAAGGGCACCACCAGGGGUGGAACCUGCGGCUUAAUUUGACUCAACACGGGGAAACUCACCAGGUCCAGACACAGUGAGGAUUGACAGAUUGAGAGCUUCUUUUCUUGAUUCUGUGGGUGGUGGUGCAUGGCCGUUCUUAGUUGGUGGAGUGAUUUGUCUGCUUAAUUGCGAUAACGAACGAGACCUUAACCUGCUAAAUAGCCCGUACUGCUUUGGCAGUUCGCCGGCUUCUUAGAGGGACUAUCGG